GAAAUGCGAUAAGUAGUGUGAAUUGCAGAAUUCAGUGAAUCAUCGAAUCUUUGAACGCACAUUGCGCCCCUCGGCAUUCCGUGGGGCAUGCCUGUUCGAGCGUCAUCUACACCCUCAAGCUCUGCUUGGUGUUGGGCGUCUGUCCCGCCUCCGCGCGCGGACUCGCACCAAAUGCAUUGGCAGCGGUUCCUUGCCCCCCUCUUUGCGCAGCACAUUGCCAUUCGAGGCGGCGGCGGCCCGCGUCCAACAAGCUCAACCCCCCCGUCUUUGACCUCGGAUCAGGUAGGGAUACCCGCUGAACUUAAGC
Molecule: unclassified non-coding RNA, 307 nt
Filed under: plant metagenome
Description: partial contains 5.8S ribosomal RNA, internal transcribed spacer 2, and large subunit ribosomal RNA
Rfam family: 5.8S ribosomal RNA (bases 1-105)
Source: RNAcentral